This 178-nucleotide non-coding RNA is filed under the name Azospira oryzae. RNAcentral describes it as "6S RNA". It matches the Rfam family "6S / SsrS RNA". Rfam says of the family: E. coli 6S RNA was the first non coding RNA to be sequenced, but its function was unknown until recently. The record is from RNAcentral. Lineage: Bacteria; Pseudomonadati; Pseudomonadota; Betaproteobacteria; Rhodocyclales; Rhodocyclaceae. RNAcentral also lists the same sequence under 1 other name.
CGUCCCCUGCGGUGUUUGUCCAGGCCAAUAUUCUUCGAACCGACUUGUCACGAUUGGUUGCGGACUCAAGUAGCGUUGGUGUGCGCGUCCCAAGCGGAAGCGCCUGAUGCGCUCGGAAAGCGACCACCUUGAACCUGAGGGUUCAAGAUGAGGGCCAGACGGCACUCGCGGGGGGCCC